AGUGAACGCUGGCGGUAGGCCUAACACAUGCAAGUCGAACGGCAGCACAGGAGAGCUUGCUCUCUGGGUGGCGAGUGGCGGACGGGUGAGGAAUACAUCGGAAUCUGCCCAGUCGUGGGGGAUAACGUAGGGAAACUUACGCUAAUACCGCAUACGACCUUCGGGUGAAAGAGGGGGAUCGCAAGACCUCUCGCGAUUGGAUGAGCCGAUGUCGGAUUAGCUAGUUGGCGGGGUAAUGGCCCACCAAGGCGACGAUCCGUAGCUGGUCUGAGAGGAUGAUCAGCCACACUGGAACUGAGACACGGUCCAGACUCCUACGGGAGGCAGCAGUGGGGAAUAUUGGACAAUGGGCGCAAGCCUGAUCCAGCCAUACCGCGUGGGUGAAGAAGGCCUUCGGGUUGUAAAGCCCUUUUGUUGGGAAAGAAAUCUUUCAGGCUAAUACCCUGGGAGGAUGACGGUACCCAAAGAAUAAGCACCGGCUAAUUUCGUG
RNAcentral lists this ribosomal RNA (490 nucleotides) under uncultured bacterium. Its description in RNAcentral is "partial 16S ribosomal RNA". It matches the Rfam family "Bacterial small subunit ribosomal RNA", at positions 29 to 507 of the family's 1533-position model. The record is from RNAcentral.